GACAGAGGGUGCAAACGUUGUUCGGAAUUACUGGGCGUAAAGCGCGUGUAGGCGGCAGGGCAAGUCGGAUGUGAAAUCCCGUGGCUCAACCACGGAAGUGCACCCGAAACUGCCCAGCUAGAGUCUCGGAGAGGAAGGUGGAAUGCUUGGUGUAGAGGUGAAAUUCGUAGAUAUCAAGCGGAACACCGGUGGCGAAGGCGGUUCUCUGGGCAUGUCCUGACGCUGAGGAGCGAAAGUGUGGGGAGCGAACAGG
RNAcentral lists this ribosomal RNA (253 nucleotides) under uncultured bacterium. Its description in RNAcentral is "partial 16S ribosomal RNA". It matches the Rfam family "Bacterial small subunit ribosomal RNA", at positions 524 to 776 of the family's 1533-position model. The record is from RNAcentral.